This is a long non-coding RNA of Acanthochromis polyacanthus (spiny chromis), 1978 nucleotides long. RefSeq lists it as uncharacterized. The record is from RefSeq and is a predicted model, not a curated record. NCBI's taxonomy places the organism in Eukaryota, Metazoa, Chordata, Actinopteri, Pomacentridae. The transcript has 2 exons.
UUUCUAAGCUUCUAGCUAUGUAUAUUCUGGCACACACACAAAAAGGAAAGGCAGCUCAGCGACACCUAUAACCUGAUGUUCUAGUUCAUUAAAUGAGAUGUUCCAAAGGGAUUUAAGGCAAUGGGCUAGCAUAGAGUGAUAUCACUGAAAAAGAGGAAAAAGAAAAGAAAAAAGUUCUGUUUUGCUGCACAAUUGUAGAAAAUGAUUUAAAGUUGUACAGUCAGUCAUGGCGCCAGUGAAGUUUGUAUCAGUCUGGGAGAAUGAUGUCACCUCUAUGAACGCUCUGGUCCUUUAUCAGUGGAACAGUGUGAGAGCCAUGUAACGUCCAUGUGUGCUGCUGAAAGAGUCUCUGCUGCUCUGACCGUCCUCCUCCUUUCAGGGUGACGCCUGCUGGAGUCCCAUGGUUGACACCAGGUCUGAGGAAGUAUUCCUGUCAACUCACAGUCGACACAAACACAGUAAACAGAAACCUCAGACUGUCUGACAACAACAGGAAGGUGACGAAUGUGGAGGAGGAUCAGAGGUAUCCUGAUCAUCCAGACAGGUUUGACUGUUAUUAUCAGCUGCUGUGUAGAACUGGUCUGACUGGUCGCUGUUACUGGGAGGUGGAGUGGAGAGGAGAGGUUUAUAUAUCAGUGAGUUACAGAGGAAUCAGAAGGAAAGGAAACAGUGAUGACUGUAGGUUUGGACGUAAUGAUCAGUCCUGGAGUCUGUUCUGCUCUAAUGGUGGUUACUCUGUCAGACACAAUAACAGUAAAACAUCCAUCAGUUCCUCCUCGGUCUCUCACAGAGUUUCAGUUUAUGUGGACGUUCCUGCUGGAACUCUGUCCUUCUACAGAGUCUCCUCUGACUCUCUGAUCCUCCUCCACACCUUCAACACCACAUUCACUGAAACUCUCUAUCCUGGAUUUGGGUUCUUCUGGUCCAGUCCUGGUUCCUCAGUGUCUCUGUGCUGAGUCUCGUCUCCAGAGUCUCCUCCUGGUACAGAAACAGUGUUGAACAGAUGGUUGAGUCUCUCCAUGACUCUGUCCCUCACAAACAUGUUUUCACAUUCAUGGAUUAAAUGUGUUUCUUUGUCAAAUCCUUCUAAAUGAUUCCUUGUAAACUUGUUCCUCUUCAAAGAUGAAGUUGUGAUUCUUCCAGGAGCCAAAUGUGGUGUUUGCGUCUUUUUCCAGUCAAAUGUUGAGAGUGAAAAUCAGGAUGUGGUGUUCCUCUGACGCUCACUGGAACUAAAAGCAUUUGAGCUGCACAAAGUGUGAAAUGAGAGAGGAAGCAGUGAAUCUCCAAACUGCUGACAGACUUUCACACAUUAUUGUCCAGUGAAAAUCAGCUUUUUGUGCAGCCACACUUGAUCCUGAUGUGAGUCUUUAAGUCCUGUUCUAGUGAUGAAAUGAGAACUUCCUUCAUCUGUGUCACUCUUUCCAAAGUAUUCUGUGCUCUUCUGUCAUUUAUGUCUUAUUGAUAGAUCCAUUUUUCAUUUUUACAAUAAAUAAGUGCUUCAAUGUUUUUUCAUCAGUUUUUUUUAUCAGAUUCUGAAUUUCUGGUUUCAUCAACAAAUUCUAUCAGAUUGUAUUUUUCCAUCAAAGCUCCCAUAACCCUAGCUAUCUGUGGAUCAAAAUGUUUUCAGCAUCGAUAUGAUUCCAGUAGAAUUUAAACCCACCAGGACUAUCCAGAUUACAUUGAACUCUGUAAAUUCUACAUUUUUUAGCCUGUUUCAUUCUAUAAAUGUUGUGUUUGGCCGUUAAAGGAGCUUUUCCUCACAUUGUGCUGUAUUUGAACCCUUCCAUGCUCUAAAUUCUUUGAACAGAUCUUGUGCUGUAAUCAAUGUCUAACUUAGUUUUUAUUUUCAUUGCAGUGGUUGAUUUUUCCUGAACAAGAUCAAUGAUUUUAAUACGUCUUUCUCCACUUUUAUUUGCUCUGCCUGUGGCUUUUAAACUAUUCUAACUUUCUUUUUAUUCAAUAAAUGACUAAUAACACA